RNAcentral lists this transfer RNA (85 nucleotides) under Lacihabitans sp. LS3-19. RNAcentral's name for it is "tRNA-Ser". It matches the Rfam family "tRNA". From Rfam's summary of the family: Transfer RNA (tRNA) molecules are approximately 80 nucleotides in length. Their secondary structure includes four short double-helical elements and three loops (D, anti-codon, and T loops). Lineage: Bacteria; Pseudomonadati; Bacteroidota; Cytophagia; Cytophagales; Leadbetterellaceae. The record is from RNAcentral.
AGAGAAGUGUCCGAGUGGUUUAAGGAGCACGCUUGGAAAGCGUGUGUGCUGCAAGGCACCGGGGGUUCGAAUCCCUUCUUCUCUG